RNAcentral lists this ribosomal RNA (812 nucleotides) under Wolbachia sp. RNAcentral describes it as "bacterial SSU rRNA". It matches the Rfam family "Bacterial small subunit ribosomal RNA", at positions 70 to 918 of the family's 1533-position model. The record is from RNAcentral. Lineage: Bacteria; Pseudomonadati; Pseudomonadota; Alphaproteobacteria; Rickettsiales; Anaplasmataceae.
AUAUUGUAGCUUGCUACGGUAUAAUUUAGUGGCAGACGGGUGAGUAAUGUAUAGGAAUCUACCUAGUAGUACGGAAUAAUUGUUGGAAACGGCAACUAAUACCGUAUACGCCCCAUGGGGAAAAAUUUAUUGCUAUUAGAUGAGCCUAUAUUAGAUUAGCUUGUUGGUAGGGUAAUAGCUUACCAAGGCAAUGAUCUAUAGCUGAUCUGAGAGGAUGAUCAGCCACACUGGAACUGAGAUACGGUCCAGACUCCUACGGGAGGCAGCAGUGGGGAAUAUUGGACAAUGGGCGAAAGCCUGAUCCAGCUAUGCCGCAUGAGUGAAGAAGGCCUUUGGGUUGUAAAGCUCUUUUAGUGAGGAAGAUAAUGACGGUACUCACAGAAGAAGUCCUGGCUAACUCCGUGCCAGCAGCCGCGGUAAUACGGAGAGGGCUAGCGUUAUUCGGAAUUAUUGGGCGUAAAGGGCGCGUAGGCUGACUAAUAAGUUAAAAGUGAAAUCCCGAGGCUUAACCUUGGAAUUGCUUUUAAAACUGUUAAUCUAGAGAUUGAAAGAGGAUAGAGGAAUUCCUAGUGUAGAGGUAAAAUUCGUAAAUAUUAGGAGGAACACCAGUGGCGAAGGCGUCUAUCUGGUUCAAAUCUGACGCUGAGGCGCGAAGGCGUGGGGAGCAAACAGGAUUAGAUACCCUGGUAGUCCACGCUGUAAACGAUGAAUGUUAAAUAUGGGAAAUUUAUUUUCUGUAUUACAGCUAACGCGUUAAACAUUCCGCCUGGGGACUACGGUCGCAAGAUUAAAACUCAAAGGAAUUGACGGGG